UUAGCUGUGAAGAAGACUGCAGUCACGUAGCACUUGGCACCCAGGGAUCUCAAAGAACUUUAUGCAUCAUUUAUCUUGAGCCUUGUUUUGCAAAAGACCAACUACCUAAGGCUUGGGCUGGGGGUAGAGGUAGAUGUUUGAGCUAGAUUUACACCAUUAAUCGAGGUAGGGGGAGAAAGACACAAAGCCUCCGGUUUAGCGGUUUCCUCCUCCCUCUGAAGCACCUUCUCGCAGUCCUCUCAGCAAUGAAAGUUCCUUUAUUCGUCCAGCACGAAAAGGCCAAAGAAACAGGGUUAUCCUUUCACCUAACAGCCCUUUCUGGGGCAGUUGAUCAGAAACAUGCAGAGCAUAGAGCCUUGGCUUGGAAGGAAGGUUUGGAAGGAAGAACAAAUCGUCUGUAAACUAUUGGGCUGGACUUGCCUCUUCCAAAGCUAAAAAUGGUGAGUCAGGAUUUUGGCGUCCACGCUCUAGGGAGAGAAGCCACAUGUAAAUGGGGAAAGCUCUGGCUGGCAGAGCGAGGGGGAACAGGCGAAGGGGGAGCCAGGUCUCUUGAGGAGGCCAGCAACGCGCGUGCGGGUCGAAUGCGGGUUCCCGACGCAAGACGCCCGGAAACCUGCUCCCCAGUGAGAACAAAGGCAGGCGCCAAGCGAGAACCUGAUUGGUGCCGGGUCCUCACCGGUGUCCUCUGGGCCCCGGAGACAACUUGCUUCACCCACUGGCGCGGAGCUCCGUGCUCACUGGAGCCCAGGCUCCCCACCCGGCCUUGGCCGUGACCACACAGGACUGUGCGUUAUGACAUCACCUGUUUUCGCUCUUUAGAACAUGAUCUGUAGUCUCAGCUUCUCCUUUUUUAGAGGUCUCUAGUGUACCGGGAUUUGGGAAGGCCUGCAGUCCGCAGAAUGAAUCUGGAGAUGAUGUAAAAGAACGGUUUCACUGGUUUGCAUUUCUUUCUUUUCUUCCUUUUCUUUUUAAUUAAAAAACACACGGACACACACACACACACACACACACACACAGCCUGGUUUCCUUAGGGAUUCAGAGUGGUGUUGUAAUGCAAAAUCAGAAAGGUACACUUGGAGGAGCUAGCAAGUUUAGCAUAUCAAAGCUAUUAGACCAAAUUGUGUGGUUAAAACUGUCAAUCUUAUUUUUUCAACAGCUGCCUCCUCUGCCCCUUUUAGAGACCAACACACAUAAACCAAGUCUACACAAGGAACAAAGGAAGUGGAAAUCUGCCAGUGUCAGGUUGAAAUACAUUAAAAUUGACUGGAAAACCCCUGAAGGGCCUGAGUUAUGCGGUUGGGUAAAUGUGUUGAUCCACUUAACUAGUAAUAGCUAAAGGUCACUUGAUGCUGUUGUAGACAUGUAUAGCCUAGAAUAGCAAUGGUGUGGGGAAGGUGCUUGACAAUCAGAAAAAACUGUAAAAGCAAGAACAUUAAGGAGAGAAAUUACCAUAGGCUCGUCAAUGCAGAGAACCAAGAAAUCCAGGGAGAAAGUUAGCAAGGCACAGUUUUCCUAGGAACUGAAACACAUAUGUGUCCCUGUUUAGUGGUAAAUUUCUUGGGCUAUAUUCCUGGCUGGUUCUCCCUUGUAAAGCAGAUUUUAUGUGAAUGCAUUUUAAAGGAUAGGAGAUAUUGAAGGCUG
This 1641-nucleotide long non-coding RNA is filed under the name Lynx pardinus (Iberian lynx). The record is from RNAcentral. Lineage: Eukaryota; Metazoa; Chordata; Mammalia; Carnivora; Felidae.